Molecule: ribosomal RNA, 442 nt
Filed under: uncultured bacterium
Lineage: Bacteria
Description: bacterial SSU rRNA
Rfam family: Bacterial small subunit ribosomal RNA
Source: RNAcentral
AACGCGAAGAACCUUACCCAGGCUCGAAAUGUAGAGCGAUGUACUAGAGAUAGUACAGCCCGAAAGGGGCUCUAUAUAGGUGCUGCAUGGCUGUCGUCAGCUCGUGCCGUGAGGUGUUGGGUUAAGUCCCGCAACGAGCGCAACCCUUAUUGUCAGUUGCCAACGCGUAAUGGCGGGGACUCUGGCAAGACUGCCUAGGUUAACUAGGAGGAAGGUGAGGAUGACGUCAAGUCCGCAUGGCCUUUAUGUCUGGGGCUACACACGUGCUACAAUGGUCGGUACAGAAGGCAGCGAAGCCGCAAGGUGGAGCAAAUCCGAAAAACCGAUCUCAGUUCAGAUUGCAGUCUGCAACUCGGCUGCAUGAAGUUGGAAUUGCUAGUAAUGGCGUGUCAGCAACAGCGCCGUGAAUACGUUCCCGGGCCUUGUACACACCGCACUACUA